CACGCCGUAAACGAUGAAUACUAGGUGUAGGGGGUAUCGACCCCCCCUGUGCCGCAGUUAACACAAUAAGUAUUCCACCUGGGGAGUACGGCCGCAAGGUUGAAACUCAAAGGAAUUGACGGGGGCCCGCACAAGCAGUGGAGUAUGUGGUUUAAUUCGACGCAACGCGAAGAACCUUACCAGGGCUUGACAUCCUCUGACGACAGUAGAGAUACUGUUUUCCCUUCGGGGACAGAGAGACAGGUGG
RNAcentral lists this ribosomal RNA (247 nucleotides) under uncultured Bacillota bacterium. RNAcentral describes it as "uncultured Firmicutes bacterium partial 16S ribosomal RNA". It matches the Rfam family "Bacterial small subunit ribosomal RNA", at positions 796 to 1041 of the family's 1533-position model. Lineage: Bacteria; Bacillati; Bacillota. The record is from RNAcentral.